RNAcentral lists this ribosomal RNA (391 nucleotides) under Ventrifissura sp. RNAcentral's name for it is "partial small subunit ribosomal RNA". It matches the Rfam family "Eukaryotic small subunit ribosomal RNA", at positions 587 to 975 of the family's 1831-position model. The record is from RNAcentral. Lineage: Eukaryota; Cercozoa; Thecofilosea; Ventricleftida; Ventrifissuridae.
AGCUCCAGUAGCGUAUAUUAACGUUGUUGCAGUUAAAAAGCUCGUAGUUGGAUUUCUGGUUUACGCGUGUGGCCCGCUACCUUUAGGUAUGUGAGUGCCAACGCGCGUCUACCAUCCUUCUAGAAAACGGUUCUGCCCUUCAUUGGGAGGGAACCGCGAUCUAGAUCUUUUACUUUGAAAAAAUUAGAGUGUUCAAAGCAGGCUCGCGCUAUGAAUACAUUAGCAUGGAAUAAUAAUAUAGGACUUUGGUUCUAUUUUGUUGGUUUCUAGGACUAAAGUAAUGAUUGAUAGGGAUAGUUGGGGGUGCUAGUAUUCAGUGGCCAGAGGUGAAAUUCUCGGAUUCACUGAAGACUAACUUAUGCGAAAGCAUUCACCAAGGAUGUCUUCUUUA